UGCCUCCGUUGGGAAGAUUGCCCAACCUUGAAAGCCUGCUAUUGAUCUCGUUGAAGGUGAGAAGGCUGGAUGGUGGAUUUUUAGGUAUAGAAAAAGAUGAGAAUGCCAGUAUCAAUGAAGGAGAAAUUGCAAGGGUCACUGCUUUCCCCAAAUUAAAAACACUUAGUUUUUGGCAUCUCAAAGAAGUAGAAGAGUGGGAUGGAAUUGAAAGGAGAUCAGUGGGAGAAGAAGAUGCCAACACAACUUCAAUACCCAUUAUGCCACAACUUCAAGAGUUGAGAAUUAUGAACUGCCCGUUGCUGAGAGCAGUACCAGACUAUGUUUUGGCAGCGCCCCUACAGACAUUGGUCAUAGAUGUUUGCCCCAAUCUAAGGAAACGUUACGGGAAGAAGGGUGAAGAUUGGCAAAAGAUUUCUCACAUCCCUAACACUUCUUAUUGUUUAAAGAAUAGUUAAGACACCACUACGUACGGAAGUGGCAGGAAGAGGUAUGUUUCAUACACCUCUUUACUGUAUAUUGUUGACUUUGGAUUGUAUUUCCUACUUACCAUUUAUUCUAUCAAAUGCAGCUUUGAUAAUUUUGGAUUGUAUUUCCGACUUACCAUUUAUUGUUUCGACUUACCAUUUUGGAUUCUAUCAAAUGCAGCUUUGAUAUAUUUAUUUUGUUCAGAGUGGCUUCCGAUUUGGUUCUGCGUUGUGAUUUACUUCUUUGAUUGUAUUAAUUAUUUAUUAUUGAAGUAAGAAGAAAGGAAUUGAAUUUAGAAUGCUAAGUAAGCCAUGGUGGCAGCCGAGGCACAGAGGUAGUAAUAUUAAUACAUUAGAACUAUAAUUUGUUGCUGCCCAGCUUGGAAGGUAUUAGUGUCACUUCCAAUGCAUGAAAUAAUUUAUUGCUGGAGGACGAGCAGGGCCCCUAGCUGCUGUUUAAUACCGAGGCACAUUGUAAUUUUAAAAAAAUGUUUUUAAUUUUAUCUAAAGAUGUAUUAAAAUAUUUUCUUAGAUUUUUUUUAUUUUUUAUAUUAAUACAUUAAAACCAUGAAAAAAACUCUAGAAAGGUAUUACUUUAAUGUUUUUUUAAGCCAAAUGCACUUUUAAAAUACAUCAAAACACAGUUUCAAAAGUAAAAUUAAGAAGGUUUAUGAACCUUAUCAGCCCCAAAGUUGUGUUGUGCAUUUAUUAUUAUAAUAUUAGUUAUAUUUUUUCAGAAUAAUAUGUUUAUAGUGUUUAAAAAUUAACUAUUUAUUUAAAUUAUUUGAAUAACUUGAUAUGAAAUUUCAUGUAUAAUUAUUAAAUUAAUUAAUUUUAAAAAUAAUAAUUUUUUUUUUUUAUGUUACGUAAUGUCAAUUGGCAAAUCUUCUCUUUUAAAUUAGUUUAAAAUUUGAGUCAACGACUCAUCAAACCCGGAGAGACCUGAAUGUAACUCCAAGGAUUUAUUUUUUAUUUUUUCAUCCAGAACAACCAACGUGGUUUUAGUUUUUUUUAAAAAAAAAAUUACUCAUUAGAACGUUUUUGUCUUAGAGUUGAUCCAACAACCCAAGUCAAGCCAUACAAACAAUGAGUUAUGCUUAUAUGUGUAUUUUUUUUUAAGGAUCCCACAAUACAUAUUUUUAGAUUGUUUUGGGGUAAUUUUUGUAAUUGUAAAAAUUGUUUAAUGUAUUUUCUGUUUAGUUGACUUUUUGUAUUUAGUAUUGUGGAUGUAAAAAAAAGAAAAGAAAAGAAAGAGAAAAUAAUAAUAGAAAAAGAGAUGUGUGUGUGUUUAUUUUUUUUAUGUAUGUUAUUGAAUCAAAAGAAAAAAAAUGAAUUUAAUAUUUUAAUUUAUAUGCAUGAAUAUCUAAAAGGACAGAUAAAAUCAUGUUGUAUUUUUCAUGAAAAUGUAGAACAUGUAUCUACAUAUAUUUUGGGAACUAAUAACUGAUUUAUCAAAGCCUUAGAAUUGAGCUAAAAUUUUAUUUUUAAAAUCACAUCAAGUUCACGAAGCUUGAAAGUGAAUGUGUGGUUUGUAUUUUGUUUAUGAAUGUCUUUUUUAUGAUAAAAUUGCAAGAAUAAAGAAGAAUUUAAUAUUUUGAUUUGAUCACGGUAAAAAGAAUUAUGAACUUACAUGUAAGUCGUAUUUCUAAUACCUGAUGAAAGAAUAAAAUUUUUAAAACUUCUUUAACACAUCAAAGUCAUGAAGCAGCUUACCUCAGGUAGGGUGCGUUAGUGGUGCUAAUACCUUCCCUAACCACAACCAGUCCCUUACCCAUGAAUCUCUGACAAGACCAGUACAUCCGGUUUCCUAGUAGCUCACAAUCAAUUACUAGGUGGCGACUCCAAUGAACGAAUCAUAAGCAUAACGAGAAACGAAAAGAAUCGUCAGCCGAUGCCGCGCGGAUUUUCUGACGUGCGACAGUGGACAAACAUGUGUUUGUGCAAACAGAAUAAUUGUGCAAGUGGGUAUCCAACAAUAGAAUUGCAGCCCUGAUUUUACCCCUUAAUUCUAAUUUUAUAUGUAAUGUUAAAAUAUGUAACGUGACAAUGAAAUUAUGUACGUGUUACAAUUCUGGAUAUGAAUAUUGUAACAAGUCUAUCUUCCUUAUAUUUAUAGGAGGAGCAUUCGUGGCUGGAACCAUAGCGGAGCGAGCUUGAACACCUGGAGCUGCAGGUAGGUGUUUCGCUCUUUAACUAUGUAAAGUUAUUGUAGUUGUUCUUUUGUUUUUCUUAUAUGUGAUUGGUUUGUCUUUGUUAUUUACAUUUGAUAAUUAUUAGAACUGAAUUGUGUCAUGGUUGUAAGAGAAUGAUGAGAGCACAUGGUUAAGAAUGAAGAGAAUUAUUCAAUGAAUGAAAUUAAUUAAUAUAAAAGAUAAUGUGUAUGACUUAGUUAUCUAAAUGGUUAGAAACUAAGGAGAUAUGAAUAUUGAUUUUGACUUAGUUUUUCAAAAUGGUGGAAAGCUAAGGUGAAUAGUAUUUGACUUAGCCAUUUGCAAAGGCAAGGCUAAGGUGAUAUGAAAAAAAUGACUUAGUCAUCCGUAAGAAUGGAAACUAAGGUGUGGUUAUAAAACUUAGUCAUUCAUGUGUAAAAUGGCUAAGGUGGUAAUGAAUUCAGCCAGGAAUUGAGGAAGACCUAGAUUAAUUGUGUGAUUACUUGGACUUCCAUUAAGAUGGGGACCAAGGUGGCCAAAAAAAAAAAAAAGAAAGAAAGAAAGAAGAGUAAGCUUUGCAAGCAAACUAUGGAGCUUGGUAAUGAAGAAGUCAUCUCAAGAAGAAUAUAUCUACAGAAAAUGUAUUAGAAAUUAUGGCGUUAAAAAGGAAAACAAAAAAGUGUAAACUAUAUAUUUAUAUAUGUAUAAAUAAAUUAAAUUAAUAUUACUAAAUAAAUUAUGUUGUAUUUGUUGCAGGUCCUUUUCAUACCGCAGGAUAACCUUGAUUUUCUUUUUUUAUGGAUAAUUAUUUACUAGAUAUAUUUUAGAUAUGUGAAUUAUGUAAUUUUCUAGUUCACUAGGAUUUAAAAUUAUCUUCUUUUACAUAAAACAAGACUUGUACUGUUUGAUAAGUAAUAAGGUAAGAAGAAUUAAUGAUAUUGAUUUGCUGAGGUGAUAUAACGACGAGUGUUAUAACAGCAGGUAGUAAAGGCAAUAUUGAGGAAGAGAUGGUAAUGGUUAUAAUGGCGGCAAUAAUGAUUUUGACACAAUGAAAAUUGUGUAGAAGUUGGUAGGGUGGUUGUGGUUAUGCUAAUUAGAGUUGUUGAAUUAUAUUGCAAUGCAAUUCCAUGAUGUAAAAGUAUUUUUCAACUUGGAUUGAACUUAAUUAAUUAGUUUAUUAAUUUGUACAAAAAUAGUUUUAUUUCAUAAAAUAGAAAUUACAAAUAGUAAUUCAACUCAUAAUUUCAUCUAGUAUCAUGUUCUCUCUCUCACAAGAUUUUGAGUUUUAUAUAUUUAUUUUUUCUCUUUGAUAAAAUUUUAAUUUGAACUAAAUUAUUUUUUAUAAAAUGAAGUAUUAUUGCUUUCCAUCUAGAAAUGAAACACAAUAAAUUAUUUCAUAAAACAAUACAUGCAAAAUAAUUCAAUACUACUUAUAAAAGAAAAACCAUUUUAAAGUAUUAAGUCAAAAAUUCAAGAUGUUUUAAAGUAAUCCCUAGUAAUUUUGAUUUUCUCAUAAAUCUAAUUUUAUUGAGUGAAUGAAAGAUUUCAAAUAUAUAGUACGUAGUAUAUAAAUAAUUUUCUGAACCAAAGAAAAAACAGAAUUUUUAGGAGUGAUUUAAAAUCAUGAACUAGAAUUUAAGUAUUCAAGUUGAGCAUAUUAAAUUUGAAUUCCCAGUCGUUCAAGUGCAUGGGACACAAAUCCUUCUUCAAGAAUCGUCGUGUUUUCUUCCCCUUGGAACCCAUUAAAACAUGGAGCCCAAAAGUAUUUAGAUUGCCCAAUUCACUAAGUCAUAAUGAGGGAACCCAAGCCCAAGCAGAGUACUCUGAGCUAAUUCAUUUUAUUUAGAAUUAUUAUGAUUAUUAUAUCCACUCCAUUAAUUAUUAGUUCCACUUCAUUUUGUAGCCACGAUGAUCAAUAAUGCUCACUUUUAAUGUUUUUUUUUCCUUCUAAUUAUUAUGAUCAAAAUCCAUUUUUGUAGGACGUAUGACCUCACCUCAACACUAGUUUUGUACCCGCACUCUGCAAUGAGGUGCCUCUGCUUUUUUCUGGUAAGGGAAGGCAAAUAGAAUGAGUUUAAAGCAUAAUGACUUAAUUGCAAAAUGCAUAUGAAUGCAGUUUUUUGACAAGGGAGUUUGGUCUUCCUGAAGCAGCAACAAUGGCUGCUAAGCUACGCAUAAUUUGUUGUCUUAUUCCCAACAAUGCCAUUCUGACCCCAAACGCUGCUGAAUCUAGCAUGCUGAUUUCCUCACUAAUUUCGAUUUCCAGAUUUCAUAACCUCAGCCCUUAUUUUAGUAACCAAACAACUCUCUUCCUAUGUUCCUGCAUCUGCAUGUCCACUCUUCACUCUCUGAUUCCUGAAUCUUGAAAACACUCUUCUUUUGUUUUUCUAGUUGUCUUGCUUUAUGUUUCUAGCUAAAAGAAGAAAGAAGUGCCUUAAAUUAUGAAAAACUAGAAAAAGACAAUGAAAGAAGUGCCUUAAAUCACGUUAAUCCAGACAAUGCGAAUCCUUUCCUACAGAAAAUCUUGCUCAUUUCUUGGCCUUUUCACACCCAUUUGCUCCCCUUCACAAACAAAGCUCCCCAUUUAAAGGAGCUCCAAUCACGCAAACCAGCAAUCCUUCCCAACUUUUUUCCAUGACCACAGCACGCUACUGAUAUCCACACAGCCCCAGCUUCAGACAGCUUCCAUCACGCAGACCAGCAAUCCCUGCAAUCCCUUCCCUGUUAACACAACCGCAGAGCCUGUAGCUGCCGCCAACAAAACCCCAGCAUCCUCUCCAUGAAUAAACCAAAACACAUCCCUGCUCAUCCACUGAUAACUCCUUAAACUACCCAGAUACAUGACUUCCAAAAGGUAUAUGAUUUUUCAAGUUAAAUGUAACCUCUAAAAGUAUGGAGAGUUGGAGACUUGAAUUAUUCUUUGCACGGUGACAAAUGAAUUCUAGAAUUUAGAUUUUUAUUUCCCAUCUAAAUAUUAAAAUAUUUGACAUUAAAGAUAUUUUAAUAUAUUUUUUUAAAUAUAUAUAUAUAUAUAUAUAUAUAUAUAUAUAUAUAUAUAUAAAAUACUAUACAGCAUAAUCUCAAGCACCAUCAACAAAUCCAAUCAUACAACCUCAACAAAUCUGGACCAUCCAUUUUCAGACCCAAAAAUCAAAGAUCAAUAUCAAACCCCAGUCCCUGCUAUGAAAACAGGAUAAAAUCACCAGAUCUCAAAAACCCAGAUAGAUAGAUGCUUGUUUAUAUUUCCAUUACACAAGAACUAAUUGGUUACUAAUUUUGGUUUGUGUAAAUUAGUUUGAAUGGCCAGAUAUAUAUUACAUAAAAUGAAGAGAAGAAAUAGAGAAGCAGGAAUUUCAGUAGAAUGCUAUAAUCAGUUGUCCAUAUCAGAUACAUUCUUAACCUAAGGUCAGUAUCAAUAAAAAAUAAUUGCUAUAUAUCGAAGAAGAAAUUACUUUCCACAAAUAAUAAUCCUUAGCCUAGAACUCGGUAGAAUUGAAAAGCACGAGUGUUUCACCUUUGGAACUCAAAAUGGCAUGUCAUUCUCAGUAGAAACAUACAACCAAGACAGGGACUGAAUUGAAGUGUUAGAAACAGUACAGGGACUGAAAAGCUACAAUAAUACAGGGACUGAAUUGAAGUGUUAGAAACCGUACAGGGACUGAAACAAAACGCAACCCUUAUCACCAAACCCUAAGUACAUAAACUAACUAAACCAGCAGCCUCCUUCCACUCACACUCUCUUCUCUCUCUUUCUCAGUUCAUCCUAACAUCAUUGUCUAUUUUUUAAAAAUAAUUAAAUUAAGCAGACAAAUGGCAGAGGCACUUUUAUCGCCAAUUUUGGAGCAGCUAACCACGGUCGUUGCUCAACAGGUAAUUACUUUUAUACAAUUUGCAAUGAUCUAAUUAACCCUUACAUGAAUAAGAAAUAUAAAAUUGAUCUCUUUUUCUUCCUUUAUAAGAAAAACAAAAUAAAAUAUCAAAUCCUCAGAUCUAGAUUUGGAUUUUAUUAAAGAAAUUUCUUUUUAUUGUUUUAUUAUUUUUCAUAUUUCUGGAAAUAAUCUAAAACAAAUAUUCUAAGAAGGAAAAUGGAGUUGUCGAUCCUCUCAUUAAACUGAACUACUAAGGGUAAAAUAAUCAAUGAAAUGUUAAAAUAAUAAGUUCCAUAAUCUUAUUUCCAAAUAGAUUUUACGAAUACCAACAAAUACAGAACCUUUUAUUCUCUAUAUUUCCAAGCUUAUGUUGUAUAUAGGUUUCUUCCUUCUUGUAUAGUAACAGAGUGCAGACAGAGAUAUCAUCAUGAUGAUGAUAAAAAGAAAUAUUAUUAUUUUUAAUAUAUUGGUUUUUAAUAAAUAUUUUAUAUGUAAAUUAUUAAUAUAGCCAAUCCAUUUCACAGUACGUGUCAACUACGUCCUGCAAAAAAAAGAUUAAUAAAAAUUAUAUAAUCUAUUAAUUACCAAAAUUAAAAUUAAAAACUUGUAGUGAAAUCAUGGAAAUGUUUCCUCUGCUUGAACUUCCUUAUCUUUUCCACACUAAUAGGUACGAGAAGAGGUGAGCCUAGUAGGGGAUGUGAAGAAACAAGUCGACAAGCUGAAAAGCAAUCUCCUUUCUAUCCAAUCUGUCCUUGAAGAUGCAGAUAGAAAACAAGUGAAGGAUAAGGCCGUAAGGGAUUGGCUAGACAAGCUCAAAGAUGUAUGUUAUGAUAUGGAUGACGUGCUAGAUGAAUGGAGCACUGCAAUUCUUAGAUGGAAAAUGGAGGAAGCUGAAGAAAAUACUCGCAGCCUACAGAAGAUGCGAUGUUCCUUAUCUCCUUGCUUUUGUCUCAAUCAAGUGGUUCUACGUCGCGACAUUGCCCUUAAGAUCAAAGAAGUUAGUGAAAAAGUGGAUGACAUUGCCAAAGAGAGAGUUGUGUAUGGCUUUGAUCUGUACAGAGCCACUUAUGAACUACAACGACUAACAAGUACCUCCUUUGUUGAUGAAUCAAGCGUGAUUGGUCGAGAUGUUGAAAAGAAAACUAUUGUAAGCAAGUUGGUGGGUGAAAGUAGUCAGGAAGCACGGGACGUUGAUGUCAUCACUCUAGUAGGGCUGGGCGGAAUUGGAAAAACAACUCUCGCCCAACUAGCUUAUAAGGAUGCUGAGGUUACGGCUCAUUUUGAGAAAAAGAUAUGGGUCUGUGUUUCAGAACCAUUUGAUGAGGUUAGAAAAAGCUAUCCUUGAGGCGCUUCAAAGGGGUGCACCGAAUUUAGUUGAAUUGGAAUCCCUUUUGCAAAGUGUUUCUGAAUCCAUUAAGGGAAAGAGGUUGCUUCUUGUCCUUGAUGAUGUAUGGACAGACAAUCAUAGACAAUGGGAACAACUGAAACCAUCUUUCACAGGCUGUGCACGAGGAAGCAGAAUUCUAGUGACCACUCGUAAGGGCACUGUGGCAACGAUUAUGGGAACUGACCACCAGAUCAAUGUUGAGAAAUUGUCCGACGAGAUAUGCAGGUCAAUAUUCAAUCAUGUGGCAUUCCAGGAAAGAAGCAAAGAUGAGCGCGAAAGAUUGACAGAUAUCGGUGAUAAAAUUGCUAACAAGUGCAAGGGCUUGCCGCUAGCUGCCAAGGUAUUAGGAGGUCUAAUGCAGUUUAAAAGAACAAGAGAAGAGUGGGAACGUGUUUUAUCUAGCGAACUGUGGGGGCUAGAUGAGGUUGAUAGAGAUCAGGUUGAAAGAGGAAUAUUUCUACCUUUGCUUUUGAGUUACUACGAUUUACCUUCUGUGGUAAGACGAUGUUUCUUGUAUUGUGCCAUGUUUCCAAAAGACUACGAGAUGCGCAAAUAUGAAUUGGUGAAGAUGUGGAUAGCUCAAGGUUACCUCAAGGAGACUUCAGGUGGAGAUAUGGAGGCUGUUGGAGAGGAGUACUUUCAAGUCUUAGCAGCGCGCGCUUUCUUCCAAGAUUUUAAGACGUAUGGUCGAGAAGAUAUUAGAUUCAAGAUGCAUGAUAUAGUGCAUGAUUUUGCCCAAUAUAUGACAAAAAAUGAAUGUCUAACAGUGGAUGUCAAUACACUUGGAGGAGCAACAGUGGAGACUUCAAUUGAAAGGGUUCGUCAUUUAAGCAUAAUGCUGCCCAACGAGACCUCUUUUCCCGUGUCCAUUCACAAAGCAAAAGGUCUUCGAAGCCUCUUGAUCGACACUAGAGACGCUUGGCUUGGAGCUGCACUACCUGAUGUAUUCAAGCAGUUGAGAUGCAUCAGGUCAUUGAAUUUGUCAAUGUCUCCAAUCAAAGAAAUACCAAACGAGGUAGGGAAAUUGAUACAUUUGAGACACCUCAAUUUGGUAGCCUGUAGAGAGUUGGAGUCCCUGUCAGAAACCAUGUGUGAUUUAUGCAAUCUGCAAUCCCUAGACGUUGCUUGGUGUGAUUCUCUCAAGGAAUUGCCUAAUGCGAUUGGAAAACUUAUCAAAUUGAGGCAUCUCCGGAUUUCUGGUUCAGGUGUGGCCUUCAUACCAAAGGGAAUAGAGAGGAUAACAGGUCUGCGAACAUUGGAUGGGUUUACUGUUUGUGGUGGUGGUGCGAAUGAAAGUAAAGCAGCUAAUCUAAGAGAAUUAAAAAACUUAAAUCGCAUCGGGAGUCUUGUUAUAUGGAAUCUACGAGGAGGUGAAGAAUAUGUGAGUGAUGCUGCAGAAGCACAACUCAAGAAUAAGAAUCGUCUGCUUUGUUUGCAAUUGGAUUUCAACUUCAACCGGGAGAACAACAUUUUAAUUGAAGUUUUACAGCCUCCGUCAGACUUGGAAAAUCUAACCAUAACUAGGUACGGAGGGUUGGAUUUGCCAAAUUGGAUGAUGACAUUAACCAGAUUACAGGUGCUUACACUCGGUCUUUGUACAAACGUGGAGGUCUUGCCUCCGUUGGGAAGAUUGCCCAACCUUGAAAGCCUGGUAUUGAGGUCGAUGAAGGUGAGAAGGCUGGAUGCUGGAUUUUUAGGUAUAGAAAAAGCUGCGAAUGCCAGUAUUAAUGAAGGAGAAAUUGCAAGGGUCACUGCUUUCCCCAAAUUAAAACAACUUUUGAUUAUGGGUCUCAAAGAAGUAGAAGAUUGGGAUGGAAUUGAAAGGAGAGUGGGAGAAGAAGAUGCCAACACAACUUCAAUAAUAUCCAUUAUGCCACAACUUCGAGAUUUGAUGAUUCUUGAUUGCCCGUUGUUGAGAGCACUACCAGACUAUGUUUUGGCAGCGCCUAUACAGGAACUACGCAUAAGAAGGUGCCCCAUUCUAACGAAUCGUUACGGGAAGGAGGAGAUGGGUGAAGAUUGGCAAAAGAUUUCUCACAUCCCUAAGAUUCAUAUUUAGAACCUGCUUUGAGUGUAUUAAUUAUUUGCUUUGGUGUUUGCUAAGGUUGAGUGUAAAAUAAUAUGAAAGCCUUGCCAUUUACUCUAUGUGACCUCUUUACUUAGAUGGAGGAUUUAUUGCAAGUCAAAUAUUUUUAUUUUUUAUAAAAAUUUAGUUCUUUAAAUAUAUUUUUCUAGUUUAAAAAUAUAAUAAAUUAAAAAAUUUAUAUACAACUAAUCAAAUAAAUUAAAAAUUAUUUAUGUUAAUAAAUAAAUAAAAAUUUAUUAAUAAUACUUAAAAACAAAACUGGUUCAAAGCCUUCAUUGAGCUCAAUGUAAAGAGGACCAACCUGCCGUCAUAAAAGCCCAAAAUACUCCAUUGUAAAAGCCCUCGUAAGAAAACACCUUCUUCUCCAACAAGAAAAGCGAAGUUAAAACCCCAAGUAAAUAUCCCUGUCUUUCUCUCCUACACGCUCGCAUUCUCAGUUUUUCAUCUCUGCGUCUUCAAGCAAUAAACCAUGGGUGAUAGCCAGUACUCCUUUUCUCUCACUACUUUCAGUCCUACCGGAAAGCUAGUACAGAUUGAGCACGCAUUGACUGCCGUUGGAUCAGGCCAAACUUCUCUCGGAAUCGAACGUUGUUGCAAUUUAAGCUCUCUCUCUUUUUUUUUUUUUUUUCUCAUUCUCUUGUCAUUUUCGAAUGUACUAUGUUGUUGAUGGGUGCUUAGAUACUAUGUUGUUGAUUUUAUAUUAUUUUUUUUGGAGUUGUAGCGGCAAACGGUGUUGUUAUUGCAACUGAGAAGAAAUUGCCAUCUAUUUUAGUCGAUGAAUCUUCUAUAAGUAAACAUUUAUUAUUUUCUUUUAUUGGUUUUGUUAUAUUCUUUGGUUGAAAUUCAAGAAACGCUUUUGUGUUUUUUGCGUUUUUGAUUGUGUUUUCUUUGUGAACUUUUCUGGUUGGCCAUGUGAUAUUUUAGUAAUAACAUAAGUAUAGAGACAUGGGUUUGUAGCAUUCUAAUUAAAGAAGCUGAUGAUUGUUGUGGAAAAGCAACGUGGAUUCUUGCCAAUGAGGUGUUGGUCUAGUAGUUAAUGGGUUUAUAUUGAGAUUCUUAGGAGUGAUUUGAGUUUAGUGACAUCGGCUGGUAGAAAUCUAUUCAAAUUCAGUGUAAAUUUGUAAUUUGUAUUAGUAAUUUGAGCUUAGUGAUUUGGGUUCUUGCCAAUGAGGCGUUACUAUACUAGUCAAUGACUCUAAGAUUGGGACUUUGAAUGUUGGAGUGUGUAGAUUUAUAUCCUCUUUAAUCCCACUUUGUAUAAAAAGGCGGUGUUGGUUAUUUUAAAUCGUGUUGAAUGAGGUGGAGAUGGUUUGAUUUUGGAGCCAGUUGAUUGGUCUCUUAUUCUAAUUUGCAAGAUGGUAUAUAACUUGAGUUGGUUGUUGAUGGUAUUUAAUUGCUUCUUGUUUCAGGUUCAGAAAAUACAGAAUCUGACACCCAAUAUUGGAGUUGUCUACAGGUUUGUUUCUGCCUGCUUCUCAGUAAUUAGGAAUUUCCAUUUUUUUAGCUUGUGUUAAUUCUUAACAGUGUUAAUUCUUAACGGUAAAAGAUUUUACCAAAUCUAUUUUAACAAAUCUAUUUCGGGCUAAUUCAGAAAAUGGAAUAGUCAUUUUAACUUUGUUUUUGAUUCUUGACUUUGUUUUUGAUUUACUAAUUCUUGUUUUGUUAACCAAAUCAUUUUACCAUUACUUCUUUUGAUAUAUUUAUUUUCUUCCGAUUUGGUUCUGCGUUGUGAUUUACUUCUUUGAUUGUAUUAAUUAUUUAUUAUUGAAGUAAGAAGAAAGGAAUUGAAUUUAGAAUGCUAAGUAAGCCAUGGUGGCAGCCGAGGCACAGACCUAGUAAUAUUAAUACAUUAGAACUAUAAUUUGUUGCUGCCCAGCUUGGAAGGUAUUAGUGUCACUUCCAAUGCAUGAAAUAAUUUAUUGCUGGAGGAGGAGCAGGGGCCCUAGCUGCUGUUUAAUACCGAGGCACAUUGUAAUUUUAAAAAAAUGUUUUUAAUUUUAUCUAAAGAUGUAUUAAAAUAUUUUCUUAGAUUUUUUUUAUUUUUUAUAUUAAUACAUUAAAACCAUGAAAAAAAAACACUAGAAAGGUAUUAAUUUAAUGUUUUUUUAAAAUCAAAUACACUUUUAAAAUACAUCAAAACACAAUUUCAAAAAUAAAAUUAAAAAGAUUUAUGAACCUUAUCAGCCCCAAGGUUGUGUUGUGCAUUUAUUAUUAUAAUGUCAGUCAUAUCAUAUAUCUCUUCAGACUAAUAUAUUUAUAGAAUUUAAAAAUUAAUUCUUUAUUUAAAUUAUUUGAAUAACUUGAUAGGAAAUGUCAUGGAUAAUUAUUAAAUUAAUUAAUUCUAAAAAUUUAAUUAAUUAAUUCUAAAAAUAACAAUAAAAAAUUUUUUAUGUCACAUAAUGGCAUUUGUCAAAACUUCUCUUUUAAAUUAGUUUAGAAUUUGAGUCAACGAAUUAUUAAACUCGGAGAGACUUGAAUGUAACUCUUAAGAUUUAUUUUUUAUUUUUUCAUCCAGAACAACCAACGUGGUUUUAGUAUUUUUUUAAAUUAUUCAUUAUAACGUUGGCAUCUUUGGAAGUAUAAUUAGGGUUGUUUUUCAAAGUAAUUUUUAUUUUAAAACAUAUUAAAAUAAUAUUUUUUAUUUUUUAAAAAUUAUUUUUGACAUCAGCACAUCAAAAUAAUCUAAAAACAUUAAAAACAUAUUAAUUUAAAAUAAAAAAAUAAAAAAAAUUUAAAUUUUUUUAAAACUACUUUCGAAACGCGAUACCAAGCAUUUUAGAGUUAAUCCAACUAUCCAAAUCAUGAUAAAAUAAAAUAAAAUAAAAGUCAAGCCAUGCAUACAAUAAUGCUUAUAUGUGAAUUUUUUUUUUAAUGAUCCCAAUACAUAUUUGAAGAAUAAAAAAAUUAGUUCAAAAUUUAAAAAAAUUAAAAUCUUUUAAAAAUACAACUAAUCCACAAAAAAAAAAAAUAAUUACACGGCACCUAUCACCAGCCACUAAGUGCCAUGGGCCAGCGCGCCCAUGGCCAGGCAAGGAGCUCCCCUGAAAAGCAACAUGUAGAAUUUAGGCGUAAUAGAGUGUCUGUAGACACUACUACUUAGGUACUAGCUAUCACGCACUUUAAUAAGUUCAAUUAUUAGUAUUUUUAGCUGAAAUAUUGCACAAAAGCUGGAAAAAGUCCAAUUAAGCUAUAGAAAAACCCAGAUUUUGAUUUUGCAAUACUAAAAUGUUGCAGAACGUUAAAAGUACGUGUUAACUGUGUAAACCAAUGGAACUGUGUAAAGGGGACUUAUGAUUAUGUUUAAAUGAAAUUUUUAAAUAAAUUGCGUACCUGCCACUAACUUUACUUGCUUUUGUCAUCUUAAUUUCUUUUCUUUCCAUUCAACCUUCGCCUAAAAAAAAAACAUGUAAUUAGGCUUUAAUUUCAGUUUAAUUGUUAAAAAAAAAAUUUAGGAAUUAAAUGAAAAUUUUUAAAAAAUUUCAUUGCUCAAAUCCACAAUAAAAUAUAAAAAAGUAAUAAUAAUUUAAUGAACAGUAAAAAAGUCACACGUUUUAGCUUUAAAUUUAAUAUUAAAGAUUUAUAUUUUUAAGAAAUUCAACAUAAUAUACUCAAUGGCUAGAAGCUUGGUGGCCAAGUUCAUAUCAUGAGUUUUCGUUUAUUGUCGAGGAUGAUUUGGAGGUUUCGCCGUUCUUUUAUAAAUAUGCGAGGGGUAUGAUUGCUAUUACAAUGUGUCGAAUUUUAGUCCUUUUUAUAUAUGAUAUGGUGCUUCACUUCAGCGUCCACGGUUUGUCCCAGGUUUUGUAUUUGUUAGACUGGAUGUUUUAAUGUUCAGUGUUAAGGUUUACAGAUUUCUUGAUUUGUUAUAUACUGGGUUUUUUUUGUCUUUCAUUUUCGUGAUCUUCUUUUUCUUCUUCUUGUUCUCUAAUGGUGUCUUUUUCAUCGAUCUUGUUGAUGCUGAGACUCAGGGUGUGCUUAGGAAUGCAGUACAAACCGUAUCUUAAAAAUUUUAAUUUUUUUAUUUAAAAUAAAUUAUUUUUUUAUUUUUUUAGAUUAUUUUGAUAUGUUAUAUCAAAAAUAAUUUUUAAAAAAUAAAAAAAAUUAUUUUAAUAUAUUUAUAAGUGAAAAGUACUUCAAACCGUUACGUCUUUAGCUUGAGUUUUGAAUGAAGGACGUUCUUGUGUGAAUACCAAGAGUUUUUGUUUUUUUUUUUUUGAUUUUAAUGUAUUAAUAUGAAAAAUAAAAAAAAAUUAAAAGACAUUAUUAUUCUAAUAUAUUUUAAAUAAAAAAACUUUAUACGUCCCUUGUAGACUCAGGUAAAAAGUUUUUUUUUUUAAAAGAAAUAAUUUAAUAAAAAUAAUAUUAUUUGAUUUUCUUUUAAAAAUAAUUAAACUUUUAAACUCUGACCCGAUGAAGUAAAGUUUUAAAAAUUAUGGUUAAAACUGGUUCAGCGAAGAGCUUUGGCCUGAAAAGGGGGAAAAGUCGACACUGCUUUCUCUCCUAAAUAGACACCGGAUGACUAUGACACCCUUGUUAUGGUAUCUGAUUCAGCGAAAAGGAGGGUAUUAUGGUAAUUGGAACAACCUGAAUCGAGAAUCUGAACCGCUGUAUUCCUACGCAAAGAUGCACACGCUACUGAUAACUCGGCCAUCUCAGUCGAUUACUCAAUGUAAUUAAUUAGAGCACUCUUUGCUGAUUAUUUCAAGAAGGGACAUCCUCUGCCCUUAUUUUUGAGUCACCAGCUAGCUACAAGUCUUCAAGCUUUGAAAUGGCUAAAAUGAGAAUAGCCUAAUAAUAAUAAUAAUAAUAAUAAAAAGCAACAACAGAGAAGAUAAAAUAAAGAAGACAUAAAAGCAGGGUAUCUACUCUAUAACUGGAAGAAAAUUAAUAGCAUUCAUAUCUAUUGUCAUGAUUAAUUAAGUAUUGAAAAAAAUUAUCAAGAAAAUUAAUAUCAUCAAGAAUAAAGAGUUCAAAAUGUUUGUUAAAAUUCAAAAAAAUGGUGAAAUGUCCUAUUUUUAGGGAUAAUGUCAAAAAUUUCAUUAAAUUUAAAAAAGUGAUGAAAUUUCAAAUCAUCAGGGAUUAACAUCAAAGUUUUAUUAAAAUUCAAGAAAUUAUGAAAUCUACUGUCUUUAGGUCUUCAGGGAUUAAUGUAAAGAAAAAUAAAAGAUUAAAAAAUUAAUGAAAUCUCCUAUUUUAGAGAUUGAAAAUGGCAAAAUUUCCGUUAAUUUUUUUUUAUUGAUAACAGUCAAGAUUAUAUAUAUAUAUAUAUAUAUUAAGGCUAGUGCUAUAAAAUGACAAGCUAUAAAAUCUUUGAUUUUUAGGGAUUAAUGUUAUUUUGAUUAAUGUUAUGAUUUUUAUAAAAUAUUGUCUAAAAAAGUAUUUUUUUGAAAAAAACCAGGGAUGCAUUAAUAAGAUAAAAAAUGGUUUUAAUUUGAUGGAUAUCUUUUUUAUUUUAAUCUCAAAGCAUUGUUUUUUUUUUAUUAUUUCUUUUCAAUAAAGAACAUAGAACAAAAAAGUUAUAUUGUUUUGUAGAAUAAUUAAAGAACAUAUGAAAAAAAAAGUUAUAUUUUAUCUCUUCGUUGCUAAAAUUAACAUCAUAUUUUACUAUCGUUGCACUACAAAAAAAAAAACAAUAUGUAAUGGCUCUUCAAAAUAUAUUUAAGGACACUUUUUAGUAAAGGCAGGUUCAUCUGCAUCGAUACGAGAGAGUUUUAUUUGCUAGGACAUGCCUUGUUGUAUGAUUUAUACAGUGUUUGAUUUUGUAUUUCAACAACAUUUAAAAAAAAAUUAAAUUUCGAAACACUACAAAAACUUAAAAAAAAAAAUGUUGAGACACUAAAAUACAAGCUUCCUUUUUUUUUUUUCCAACCUACAAGUUGUGCUCUCCAAAAACUAAUGAAAAAAAACUAAUAAAAACUAACUUAAUUUGAGACACUAAAAUAAAAAAAUGUUGAGACACUAAAAGUCUAAAAUACAAGCUUCACCUGCAACGCCAAACCCUAAGUAUAUAAACUAACUUCCAUUCACAAUCAUCAGCCGCCUCCUUCUCUUCACCCUCUCUUUCUCUCUGCUCAUCCCGUCAUCAUUGCUUCUCUCUCUCUCUCUCUCUCUCUCUCUCUCUCUCUCUCUCUCUCUCUCUCUCUUUCCAAUCAGAACUAAACAGACGAUGGCUGAGGCACUUCUAUCUCCGAUCUUGGAGCAGUUAACCACGAUCGUUGCUCAACAGGUAUUUUUCUACCAUCUGCAAUAACCUGAUUUACCUAGCAGAGAUAAGAAAUAUAUAUAAAGUUCAAGCCUUUUUUCUUCCUAUCAUAAAAAGAAUACUUUUAACUUGAAUAAAUAAAAAUAAUAUUUUAAAUCCUCAAGUAUAUAUUUGGAUUUUAUUAAAGAAUCUUCUUUUUCUUGUUUUAUUAUUUUUCAUAUUUCCAAAAAUAACCUAAAGAAAAUAUAUCAUUCCAAAUAUAGGAAAACCGAAAAAGGCAAAACAAGAAAUAUUAAGGGUAAAAUAAUCAAUAAAAAGUUCAAAGGAUUACCGAGCGAGUAUAUAUAUAUAUAUAAGGUAAAAUAUCUAUAGUUUAAUGUAAAAUAAAAACCAGAUUUUAUGUCGGUUCAAAGGAGAAAUCCUUCUCUCGGGAGAACAUUAAACUCUUUCCAUGCCUAUAUUAAUUAUAUAUAUAUAUAUAUAUAUAUAUAUAUAUAUAUACGUUCAGAAAUAUUUUAUAUAUAAAUUAUUAAUAUAGUCAAUCCAUUUCACAAUAAAAUAUAUUAAUACAAAAUAAUUAAUCUAUCAGUUGCCAAAAAUUAAGAAAUUGUGUUGAAAUCAUAGUAACGUUUCCUAUGCUUGAACUUCCUUAUCUUUUGUACACUAAUAGGUACAAGAAGAGGUGAACCUCGUAGGAGGUGUGAAGAAACAAGUCGACAAGCUGAAAAACAAUCUCCUCGCUAUCCAAUCUGUCCUUGAAGAUGCAGAUAGAAAACAAGUAAAGGAUAAGGCUUUAAGAGAUUGGGUAGACAAGCUCAAAGAUGUAUGUUAUGAUAUGGAUGACGUGCUUGAUGAAUGGAGCACUGCAAUUCUUAGAUGGAAAAUGGAGGAAGCUGAAGAAAAUACUCCCAGCCGAAAGAAGAUACGGUGUUCCUUCCUGGGAUCUCCUUUCUUUUGUCUCAAUCAAGUGGUUCAACGUCGCGAUAUUGCCCUCAAGAUAAAAGAAGUAUGUGAAAAAGUGGAUGACAUUGCCAAAGAGAGAGCUAUGUAUGGCUUUGAGUUGUACAGAGCCACUGAUGAACUCCAACGAAUAACAAGUACCUCCCUUGUUGAUGAAUCAAGCGUGAUUGGUCGAGAUGAUAAAAGGGAAGCUGUAGUAAGCAAGUUGCUAGGAGAAAGUAUUCAGGAAGCGGGGGACGUAGAGGUCAUCUCUUUAGUAGGGAUGGGCGGGAUUGGAAAGACAACUCUCGCCCAACUAGCUUUUAAUGAUGAUGAGGUUACGGCUCAUUUUGAGAAAAAGAUAUGGGUGUGUGUUUCAGAUCCAUUUGAUGAGGUUAGGAUAGGCAAAGCUAUCCUUGAGCAACUUGAAGGGAGGGCACCGGAUUUGGUUGAAUUGCAAUCCCUUUUGCAAAGGGUUUCUGAAUCCAUUAAGGGAGAGAGGUUCCUUCUUGUCCUUGAUGAUGUAUGGACAGAAAAUCAUCGACAAUGGGAACAACUGAAACCAUCUCUCACAGGCUGUGCACGAGGAAGCAGAAUUCUAGUGACCACUCGUAAACAUUCUGUGGCAACGAUGAUGGGAACCGGCCACGUGAUCAACCUUGAGAAAUUGUCUGAUGAGGUAUGCAGGUCAAUAUUCAAUCAUGUGGCAUUCCAGCAAAGAAGCAAAGAUGAGCGUGAAAGAUUGACAGAUACCGGCGAUAAAAUUGCAAACAAGUGCAAGGGCUUGCCUCUAGCUGCCAAGGUAUUAGGAGGUCUAAUGCAGUCUAAAAGAACAAGAGAAGAGUGGGAACGUGUUUUCUGUAGCGAACUAUGGGGGCUAGAUGAGGUUGAUAGAGAUCAGGUUGAAAGAGGAAUAUUUCUACCUUUGCUUUUGAGUUACUACGAUUUACCUUCUAUGGUAAGACGAUGUUUCUUGUAUUGUGCCAUGUUUCCAAAAGACUACGAGAUGCGGAAAUAUGAAUUAGUAAAGAUGUGGAUAGCUCAAGGUUACCUCAAGGAGACUUCAGGUGGAGAUAUGGAGGCUGUUGGAGAGCAGUACUUUCAAGUCUUAGCAGCGCGCUCUUUCUUCCAAGAUUUUAAGACGUAUGAUCGAGAAGAUGUUAGAUUCAAGAUGCAUGAUAUAGUGCAUGAUUUUGCCCAAUAUAUGACAAAAAAUGAAUGUCUAACAGUGGAUGUCAAUAACCUUCGAGAAGCAACAGUGGAGACUUCAAUUGAAAGGGUUCGUCAUUUAAGCAUGAUGCUGUCAAAGGAAACCUAUUUUCCCGUGUCCAUUCACAAAGCAAAAGGUCUUCGCAGCCUCUUCAUCGACGCUAGAGACCCUUGGCUUGGAGCUGCACUACCUGAUGUAUUCAAGCAGUUGACAUGCAUCAGGUCAUUGAAUUUGUCAAUGUCCUUAAUCAAAGAAAUACCAAACGAGGUAGGGAAAUUGAUACAUUUGAGACACCUCAAUUUGGCAGAUUGUUAUAAGUUGGAGUCCCUGCCAGAAAUCAUGUGUGAUUUAUGCAAACUGCAAUCCCUAGACGUUACUACAUGUCGGUCUCUCUGGGAAUUGCCCAAGGCGAUUGGAAAACUUAUCAAAUUGAGGCAUCUCCGGAUUUGUGGUUCAAUUGUGGCCUUCAUGCCAAAGGGAAUAGAGAGGAUAACAUGUCUUCGAACAUUAGAUUGGUUUGCUGUGUGUGGUGGUGGUGAGGAUGAAAGUAAAGCAGCUAAUCUAAGAGAAUUAAAGAACUUAAAUCACAUCGGAGGGAGUCUUAGAGUAUAUAAUCUACGAGGAGGUUUAGAAGGUGCGAGAGACGCUGCAGAAGCACAACUCAAGAAUAAGAAGCGUCUGCGUUGUUUGCAAUUGUAUUUCGACUUCGACCGGGAGAACGACAUUUUAAUUGAAGCUUUACAGCCUCCGUCAGACUUGGAAUAUCUAACCAUAUCUAGGUACGGAGGGUUGGAUUUUCCAAAUUGGAUGAUGACAUUAACCAGAUUACAGGAGCUUACACUCGAUUAUUAUGUAAACCUGAAGGUUUUGCCUCCGUUGGGUAGAUUGCCGAACCUUGAAAGCCUAGAAUUACGCGGGUUGAAGGUGAGAAGGUUGGAUGUUGGAUUUAUAGGUAUAAAAAGUGUUAAUGAAAGAGAAAUUGCAAGGGUCACUGCUUUCCCCAAAUUAAAAAAACUUUGGGUUUUGAAUCUCAAAGAAGUAGAAGAGUGGGAUGGAAUUGAAAGGAGAUCAGUGGGAGAAGAAGAUGCCAACACAACUUCAAUAUCCAUUAUGCCACAACUUCGACAGUUGACAAUUCGUAAUUGCCCGUUGUUGAGAGCACUACCAGACUAUGUUUUGGCAUCGCCUCUACAGGAAAUGGUCAUAAGCAUUUGCCCCAUUCUAAGGAAACGUUACGGGAAGGAGGAGAUGGGUGAAAAUUGGCAAAAGAUUUGUCACAUCCCUUACAUUUCUAUUUAAAGAAUAGUUAAGACACCGCUACGUAAGUAAAAAAUAAUGUGUUUGAUAAUUGUUUGGGAACGCUGUCCAAUGUGUUUUCAUAAAUUUUGAAAUUUUUUUUUUAAAAAAUAAUUUUUUUAUGUUUUUAGAUUGUUUUCGUGUGUUGGUAUCAAAAAUAAUUUUUACAAAAUAAAAAAAAUAUUAUUUUGAUGCAUUUCUAAGUGAAAAGCACCAAGGUUGUCAAAAACACAUUUUUGACACGACACGGAAUAUACAAUAUAAACUUGGAUCGUAAACUCAAAUCGUAAAAUCAUAAAAUCGUAAGUAAAAGUGAAAUAAAGUAAUAAACAAUACAAAUGUCCAAACACUUAAAAUACAUGAUUCAAAUAAAAAUUUAUAAAUAGUUUAAAUAACUUUAAAAUAUAAUACAACAAUUAUGUCCAUAGAAUUUUAUUAACUAAAAAUUAACAAACUUAAAACAAAUAAUAUAUUGGUGUGUCAUAUAAACUAAACAUGAUCUCAUUGCCUUGAUCUUCAUAAGGAUGUAUAGUGCUGAGAAUUGAAUAAAAUACAACAAAAAAACCAACAUAUAAAUACAGGGAAAACACAACCAUCCCUUGCAGCAGCAGCUAAUGCAGGGUUAUCUUCAAUUCGAAAGUCCCUCCUACACCAAACAAUGGUCUUACUGCUACCCAUUAGGAUCAUAACCCCUUUUGCACCAGAAGAUAAACAAAUAUAAACAAGCUCCUGGAUAACAAGCUCCUGGUUAUUAUCCAGGAUAUAUAAGAGAAGUAAGAAUUGGGAACAGGUAAAUUCCAGUUUACCACAUACUACAAGAACACCAACUCUAAAACUACACCUUUGCAUCAGAGACACCCCCACCUUCUGUAUAAUAGAGGAGCACUCCUCUAGAACCUUCAAAGACAAAUCAUUGCAGGCACCUCUCUCUGUUUAACCUAAUAUUCUUCAACUAAUUCUUUUAACUCUAUGUGCAACAAGAAGAUGAGAUAUCAUGUGACUGAAGAAUCAAUAUAUAUACCAAAAUUCAGGACAGUAUUAAGCAUUCAUUUCAUGCUCUGCCCUUCUAGUGGGAAUUGCAAUAAAAAGGAAGAUGGGUUUUGAAGCUAUAUAUGAUGUAGCAGCAUUGUAGCAACCAGAAACUGAAAGCAACCAUUUGAAAGCAACAUAUUUGGUACCGUCUAUCAGAUUAGGACACAAACAUGCAAAGAUUGCAAAAACCCAAUAUGGCAAUAAAUAUAUACACACAUACAAGACUUGUCAGCACAGUUAAUAAGGCAUGCGAAAUUACAAAAGAGAAAAGAUCUUAUGAUUCAGCAAAUGAGCAAAUGUUAAUAUGACAGGCACUCAACUCUUAUUCUAUAUCAGACACUUCGUCGCCAUGGAUGAGGGGAAAAAGAAAAGAUUAACAGAAAAUAAUGUGUUUACCUGGAAGAUUUUCAACACCAGGAAGAUUUUCAGCACAAAUUGCAAGAUUAACAGCAAGUUCAAGAUUAUUUAACUGCCAAAUCACCCAAAAAUAAUAUAAGAUUGAUAACCCAAAAAUGAUAUAAAACAUGAUAGAGAAGGAGAGAAUCAAGCAAACCUGGCCACUAAUGAAAUAAUCCAGCAACCAAACCUGGCCACUAAUGAAAGAAUCCAGCAAGCAAAGCUGAGAGAGUGGAGACUGGAAACUGGAGACCGGAGAGGCGGAGAGGCGGGCCUGUUAACGGCGAAAUAAAGAAAAAAAUGGGGUUUUUGAGAGAAAGAAAGAGAGUGGAAGGCGUUGGCUUCUGCUGGGUUUAAGAUUUGAGAAUCAGAGAAUGUGAGAUCUGCUUCUGCUAGGGUUGAAUUUGAGAAUCAGAGAAUGUGAGAUUUGGGGGAAGCGGAAAGGAAAAAGGGGAAUUUUGUGAGACUAACGGGAUGGAUAGGAGAGGAUUGAGAACAGUGAGAAGAUUCAAUGGUUUUUGUUAAUUCUAUCGAACUCGGUAAACUCGGUUCGAGUUUACCGAGUUCACCGAGUUUGACCAAGUUUACUAAUUUUCAAGUUUUCUACCCGAUUUCACACGGUAUAUCUGAGUUGACUCGUAAAAUCGUAUGAUUUUACGAGUCAACUCGCAAGUUUGACAACCAUGAAAAGCACUAUGAACCGCCACCGCUGCUAUAAUUUCAAACAGGCAAGCUUUUCAAAUUGAGGUAAUAAAAUAACUAUAAAAGACAUAUAUUAAUAUUGAUGUUUUUUAGUUGAAAUAUUGUAGAUUUAAUUUCUGCUAUUACAUCAUAAAACAAACAAUACUUUAUAUAAAAUAUUUUUUAUUGUUUCAUUAAACUAUCUGUAAUUUCAUCACGUACGAAAUUCAUCCUGCCUUGACUAUAGUUUCCAUUGAUUUUAGAGUGUGCAACAACAUCAGGUAAAAUCUCAUCAGGAACAUAACUGGAAUUGUGAUCAAAUUUUGUAAAUGCAACGUCAUCAUACGAUCUCCUUCUAAUAUAAUUAUGUAGUGCCAUUGAUGCCAUUAUAAUUUCAACUUGCGUUUUGUAUGGAUAAGCAAGCAUGUUUUGUAAAAUCCUUCACCUUUGUUUCCAUACUCCAAAAGAACGUUCUAAGACAUUACGUAGCGAUGAGUGUGCUCGAUCAAAAACUUCUUGCCGAUUUCUUGGUUGUCCACGACGCCUAAAAUCUUCUAAGUGAUAUCUCUCACCUUUAUAUGGACCUAAAUAAUCAUACUCAUUGGGAUAUCCAACAUCAACUAAAUAGUAUUUACUUGUAAUUACAAACAACAUUCAAAUUUGUCAUGUAAUUAGUAAAUAAUAAACAAAUUUUUAUACUUAUAAUUACAUAACAAGUUCUGUUGUAUAACUACCUUCUGGUGGUUUAUGAAAUUUUAUAUUUCUAUUCUCAAUAGCCUCAAGAAAAAUACGUGUAUCGUGGGCACUACCUUCCCAUCCUGCCCACAUAAACAUGAACUGCAUGUCAAAACUACAAGCAACCAUUAUGUUUUGAGUCGAUACACCUUUUCUUCUGAUAAAUGGAAUUUGAUUUUCAGUUGAUAUGCAAGCUCACACAUGUGUUUCAUCAAUUGCACCAAUACAAUUCUACAUGAAAACCAUUGAUAAUAUGAUGUCGUUACUUACUAACAUGCAUAAAACAAUUUUUCUUUGAAUAAUAACAAUAUUAACAAAUCUUUUUCUUACCUUGAAAUGAGGCAUAUAUCUUGGAUUCAUUGCAAUUUCUCGUGGAGUGCUUGUAAAAUUCAAGUCCUUUGGUUUUAUGACAUCUAUUGCAAACAAACAUACUGCUGCGAGGACUUCUUUAAUGCAUCUACUAACAGUUUCACCUGAAUGUUGAAAUCGCUCUUGAACCUCUCUAUUUGGUGCUCCUUGUGCUAUUGUAUCUAGAAAUAUAGCCACUUUUUCAAUCACACUCAUCCUUCUCGAAGGCUUUAACCCAUACUUUGUUUCUAAAUCACUGCACAGGCUAAACAAAGUUCAUGUGUCCAUUCUAAACAGGUUGACACAUCAUUUCCAAUGUCCUCGUAAAACUUCAGUUAACCAACGCAUGCAUGUAUUAUAUGAAACCAUGCACGGUUCUUUAUGCAUAUAAUUAAUAUAAUACAUGUUUAUUGCCCCAGCUGUGCACACAACUAACUUCUUCAUAUCAAAAUCUCACUUCCAAAAUGAUUCAUCAUCAUCAUCAUCACUAUCGUCGUCGUCGUCGUCAUCAUCAUUGUUGUCGUCAUCAUUUUCCCCGUCAUCACCAUCCUCUCCCGAGCCACCGUUGUCAUCAUCACCACGAUAAUUAAUGUGAUCAACAACACGAUCCAUUAUGUUUUCAUAAUCAUCAUCAAGAUCUUUAUUGAAUAUUGCAUUAAAAAGCGCAUCUUCCAUAUGUAUAAUGCUAAAUAAAUAAACAAAUGAAUAAUGUUAAACCCUAUUUUUUCAAAUAAAACAUAAUAUCUGAUGGUAUACUUUAUCGUUUAAUUUUACACCACGCAAAUAUUACAGUCUACGUCUUCACACUAGAAAAAAUAUUGGAAAAAAAUGUUUUUGGAAAGUAUUUUUUUUAUUUGUUUUUUUUACUGGGUCGGACCCGAAAAAAAUGUUGGUUUAGAUUGUGAACAGUGGAGACAGGCAAAUGCAUCAGCAGAAGAAGAAGGAGAAGGGGGAGAGGACGCUACCCUGUACGAUGGCGAAGUAUGGUUGGCGGUGGCAACGACGAAGGCUAGUGGUGAACUAAGAGACGGUUUUCCUUUGUCCCUGCUCUUCUUCCUUCUCCCUGUUUCUGCUACGCUUUUUUUCUAUUUCGGACAGUUUUCUCCCCGUUGAUGAUGGUGCUGUUGUUGUCAACAAUGACUCCAGACGGUUAUUAUGGCGACGAUGAGGAAGGUUGACGGUGGUGGCCUUGUUUUUAUCCCGUGGUUGCCUCUGUUUUUCGUCUGAUUCUGCUCUUCUUCCUUCUUUCUGUCUCUGCUACGUUAUUUUCCUGUUUCAGACGGUUUUCUCCCCGCUGAUGGUGGUGCUGUUGUUGUCGACAAUGACGCCAGAUGGUUGUUGUGGCGGCGAUGAGGAAGGUUGGCGGUGGUGGCCCUGUUUUUAUCCCUUGGUUGCCUCUGUUUUCCUCUGAUUCUGCCCUUUUUCCUUCUCUCUGUCUCUGCUGCGUUCUUUAAGCGUUUCUGACCAGUUUGUUCUUUUUUUUACUUCUUGUUUUCCCUUCAUUCUGGUUCGUCACUUCUUUCUACCCUUAUAUUUAUUAUUCUGCAAGGUUGUAACCCAUGUGAAAGAUUGUGAAAGGUUCUAUCGCAAUGUACCAUGUGAAAAGUAUUACUGCAAUGUAUUUUUGUCACCAUGUAAAAAGUUUUCAUAUCUCUGCAAUUUACACCAGUUAGAUGGUUGUUGCUUGUUGCAUGUGACUUGUUGCAUUUCAAAUCCUUGCAUUUCAGAUUCGUGCUAUUCUUGCAUCCUGUGAUUUCUUUCUUUUUAGUUUUUUUUAUUAUGUUUAACAUUUUGUAUACUCUUUCCUUUUCCUUCUUGUUAAUCCACAUCAAUUAUAUUGUUGAUUGCAUCGUCAAUUUUUUAUAAAUGGAUUUGUAAUCGGAUUUCUUGAGCAGUGGAAUUUGUAAUUGAAAAUUGUUCUGUCGAUUAAAACACAACCCUUUGUUUGCAUUGUCAACCAAUGGCAUUCAUAAGCAUAUUUUGUAAAAUCUAAAAGCAUUGUCCACAUCAUAUGGCAUUAAUAUUACAUAGUAUUUUUCCCGAUCGCAAUUCAUAAUACUCAACAAUUAUCGAAUAACUUUACAACUUUUAACUAUAUUAAUAAACAAUCCAUAACAUGAAUAUAAUAAAUAUUAAUGCUCCAUAACCUAAUAACCUAACUGAAUGCAAAUAGUGUCUCCUAAUAAUGUGAAUUGUUAAAAUUACAAAUAGGAUCCCGAACAAACAUAGAUGAAUUUAUUACUCAAUAUCAUCUUUAGAUAUUUGCAAAUUUAAAUAAUUGACAAGAAAUUUAAAAACAUGUUACAUAACAAUUUAGAUAAUAAUAUUACCAACAAAUAAAUGAAAGCAUGCAUUUGGGAUCAAUAUAUACCUCUCUGUUUAAGGUGCUUUACGUCAUGUAUGCAUUCUCUACAACCAUUUCAUCUUGUUUUCAAGAUUACCCAUAGUUAACCACAUUUUUCUAUUCCUUCUCAAACCUAAAAACUCAGCAGCAAACUCAUGAAAAUCAUCACCAAUAUAAACUCCUUCAAUUGAGUGAAGCUUGGUCAUAACCUCAAGAAUACUACAUCUUUACCUAUCUCUAUUGAUAGAUGUUGAAUCACUAUUGUUUGACAUGCUGUCAACCAUUUGAUCCCACCGUAACAGUAAUUGCAACCCAAUUCCAGAACUUUUUUUUUCCCCAACUUGAACCUCAGAACAUUCUCUUUCUUUUCUUUUUCCAUUGUUGCAUGUGUUGCUACUGCUGGACAUAUUAACCCCCUCUAACCAUGUUGCAAACAUCAUGGUGAAAUUUGGAAUUCCAUCCUCUUCUGAAUCACCGCUUCGCACUUGUUAGCAAUUUUAUCACUGAUUCUGUCAAUCUUUCGCACUCAUCUUUGCUUCUUUUAUGGAAUGCCACCUGAUUGAAUAUUGACCUGCAAACCUCAUCAGACAUUCUCUCAAGGUUGAUCAUGUGCUCGGUUGCCAUCAUGGUUAACUCAGAAUGUUUACGAGUGGUCACUAGAAUUGGUGCACCGCCUUUAAGAGAUAGUUUCAGAUGUUCCCAUUGCCCAUGACUUUCUGUCCAUACAUCAUCAAGGACAAGAAGGAACCUCUUUCCCUUAAUUCAUUCAGAAACACUUUGCAAAAGGGAUUCCAAUUCAACUAAAUUCGGUGCACCCCUUUCAAGCGCCUCAAGGAUAGCUUUUGCUAUCCUCACCUCAUCAAAUGGAUCUGAUACACACACCCAUAUCUUUUUCUCAAAAUGAGCCAUAACCUCAGCGUCAUUACAUGUUCAAAAAUCUCAGAAAUAAUAUCAUUCAUCAGGUACAGAAAAGAACAUAAUGACCGGUAAGGUAGUUAUAAUUAAUGAGAGAUGUAAGGACUCAGAAAUUUAUUACUGUGAAAAGAAGAAACAUUUACCAUCAUUCUAAUUACAGUUAGCCAUCUUUAGCAAGUAAAAAAAGCCAACCCCGUGUAAAGAUAGUGACUGCAACCUCUGAUGCAAUCUAAAUUUGGUGUAUCUUCAUCCUCAAUCUUUUCUGAAAAAUAUGAAAGUGUAUGAAAGAAAGAUUGUAUGAAUUCAGAGAGAAGAAACAGGUAAUAUCAUCAUGAGCAUCUGAAGUGGCUUCUAGAUGUGUUUUUUGUAAUAAAAGCCUGGAAUCUUCAAGUCACCUCUUCAUCCAUCCACUGCCACUUUGCUUGGCAUCUAUGAAUGAAAUUCCUUUCACGAUGGGGUAUUAACAGUGUUUUUUCAAAAUCUGUUGUUUGUAUGUGCUACCAAUGAUUUUCUAUGGUGAAAGGCAAUCAACAGAAUCUCUCAUGACAGCUUCUCUUCUCCUGCAUUGUGUGGAAUCUUUAGCUUCAUCAGAAUGAUAUCAUCUUUAAUAGGGCUGCUCCAAAUCUUCAAAGCUGUUUUUCCUUGAUCUUCCGCAGUUUCUCAUUUUCUUCAGACUCUGCUGGCGAGGAUGUUCAUAACAGCUAUGAUGGCAUUGGUUUUGUAAAAAGGAGGAGCUGAUUUCAAUUGUUUUUUUCCUUUUCCCACACUGUUUUCCUUCCCCUGUUUCAAAACCUCUAAAGCUUGUUUGCUUUUUUUUUUUUGGUCAGCUAGAACUUCUGGAUGCUAGGCUAUUAUCUUUUUAGCCAUUUUCUUAUAAUACACUCGACUAUUAUAAGAAAAAAUGCAUCUGAAGUGGCUGAAUAUAUAAGCUUCGGUUCCAUCUCCAUCAGCAUCAAAUGCACCCGAGCUAUUGGUGAGCAGCGCCAACGAGAGGGGAAAAUAAAAAAUACCAUCCAGCAUUUACUCUAACCUUCCAACUCAUAUAUUCACAGAACUUUCAAUCUUGCCUUGCAUAGAAACCAACAGUGAACCUUAGUGGAGAGGUGACUCGCAGAAACUUAAAAAGCGGAAUCCACAUGCAGACAGUAACUCGGCCAACUCAGUCGAUUACUCAAUGUAAUUAAUUAUAGCACUCUUUGCUGAUUAUUUCAAAAAGGACCUCCUCUAGCCUUAUUUGAGUCACCAGCUAGCUACAAGUCUUCAAGCUUUGAAAUGACUAAUGGCGUACGGCGUACCACUCUGCCACUGGUAAGGAAAAGAAAUCUCUUUAAAGUCACCAAGGAACUUUUUUUUUUUUUACAACAGUGGAGAAUUUUAUUAAAAAUUUGGCUAUAAAGAGAAUAGCUUAAUAACAAAAAAAAAAAAAAAAGCAACAAAGAGAAGAUAAAAAAUAAAGAAGACAUAAAAGCACGGUAUCUACAACAGGAAGAAGAAAACAGGGACCAGACAAUAGAUAAAAACAAGAAGUCAACUUCUGUUAUCCCCGAAAAAGAUCCCAUCAGAGUUGAUCCCUAAAUCCAAACCGGUGUAAGCAGAAGUUGUGCUAUCAAACUUCAACCAUAAGGAGAACCUGUGGAGGAUAAAGUAAAAACAACCCUUAAGAUCUGGAAUAGCAUCAUUGAAGAUUACAUCAUUUCAAUGUAGUCAUAGACGCCAUGCAAUACAAGAAAAGAGAAGUUGUUAUCAUGAAAGAUUCUGAAAUUUUCCUUGCAUCAUUUGUAGCACAUAUCAUCAAUAGAAUUUGGGAAAGAAUUACUAAUACCCCACCAAAAUAGGAAUUUCAUUCAUAACUUCCAGGCAAAAACACGAUGAAUGAAGAGAUGGCUUGAAGUUUCAAAUCUUCUUUUACAAAACAUACAUCUAGCUUGCUGAAGAGAAAAGAAAUCAUGCUGAAACAAGAAAUCACCGAUGAAGACUUUAUCUUGGAUAAGCAGCCAAAGAAACAAUUGAACUCUUUUUUUUUUUUUUGGGGGGGGGGGGGGUAACGAUACUAAAAACCGAAAAGGUUAUACACCACCGUAAAGCAAUUAAUCCAAGAAAUGGGAACUGGAUUUUACUGUAUAAAAACCAUUUUACUAUGCAACAAAUUUUUUUUAGGGAUAACGUCAAAAUUUUGUUAUAAAUUAAAAAAUUAAUGAAAUUUUCUAUUUUAGUGAACAUCAUUAAAAUUUUCAUUAGAUCUUAAAAAGUGAUGAAAUCUUGUAUCUUAAGGGAUUAACGUCAAAGUUUUUAUUAAAAUUCAAGAAAUUACAAAAUCUACUAUUUUUAGGAAUUAAUAUAAAAAAUUUAAUAAAAUCUCCUAUUUUAGAGAUUGGUUUUUAUAACCGUGGAGAUUAUAUAUAUACAUAGCAAGGCUAGUGUCAUAAAAUGACAAGCUAUGGACUCUUUGGUUUUUAGGGAUGAGAAUAAUUUUUACAAGUUUUUUAUUCUAAGAAACCGGUGUCUAUUCUUAAAUAAAUUAUAAAUAAAAAUAUAAUAGCAUAAAAUAAUUUAGAAAAACAUAAACAAUGAUAAUUUUUUAUUUAAAAGGUUAUAGUAAAGGUGAUGUUAACCUAAUAUCUGAAUCUUUAAAAAUCCCCAACAAUUUUAGAAUUUCUAAUUUUCUUUGAUUAUUAGGUUUCGACUCUCUUCGUUGCAUUGGUCACGGUGUGUUGCUAAAAUUAACAUCAUGUUUUACUAUCGUUGCACUACAAAAAACAGAAAACAACAUGUAAUGGCUCUUCAAAAUAUAUUUAACGACACUUUUAGUGUCGCUAAAUAUUUUCAAUCUGCAACAGAAUUAUCACAAAUGGUCACUAUAUAUAGUGUCAUAAUUAAGUUAUGCAGUGACACCGAACCCCCUAUAAAAAGAUUGAAGAUCCAAUUUAAUAAUCUGAGGAAUUGAAAAUUAAGGAUUCAAUUUAAUAAUUUAAAGAAAUUUGAUAUGAUUUAUUACUUUCAAAUUAUAUGGACUCGGGUAAAACUUGGUUAAAUAUUAUUGAUUUUUUUUUUUGGAAAAACAAUUUUGGUAAAAAGAUGUCAUUUUAAUCCCUUUAAAUAAAAACUAUUUCAUUGAUGGUAUAUAACUUGCAAGAUAGUAUAGACAUUCAUUACAAGUUAGUUGGGGAUUGUUGGUGUAAUUUAUAAAUGAAUAAAAAAAGAAAUGAUGUCUAUCCCAAAUUAGAAAAAAACACUCCCUCUUAAUGUUUGUAAUUAAGUGUGGGUUUCUAUUGUGUAGUAAAUUAAAUCAUGAUAGAAGAACUCUCCUAGUGGGCUUUCUAAUAUUAUUAUAUAGAUAUUUAUAAUAUCAAAAGAUGACACUUGGAACUUGGAACUUAAUAUAUCAGUGAGAUUAAUUCACCAUUGAAUUAAUUCUCGUAAUUAAUUAUGACAUUUGUGACUGUUGAGAUAAAACUGAAUAAUAAUUAUUCGAUUUAAUUUAAAGUGUAACUCUUUUAUGAACAAUCAUAUUGUUUAAUCAAUAGUCGUACCGUUUCAUCAGCAGUCAUGCCGUUUCAUCAGCAAUCAUAUUAUUUCAUGAACAAUCAUAUUGUUUCAAGUCUAUAAAAACAUGUUACUACACAAAAAAAUCAUAUACAACAAAAAUAUAUAUUCUUUUCUUGGUCUCAUCUUCUCAUUCUUUUAGAGGACUUAGGCUGUGUUUGUUUUCCGCUAGCUUUUGCGCUUGCGGUGAAACCAACGCAGCAAGGUGUUUGGUAAAAACCAAACUAUGUUUUAUGUUGCGAGGCCCACUAAAAAAUUGAGUUUGAAAAACAGUUUUUACAUGUUUUUUUAACUGAGUUUCGUAAAAAUUCCUAAAACCCUAUUUGUUUUGCAUUUCAAAAGCGCUUUUGAAAAAAAUUAAAAAAUUUUAUUUUUUUCUUUACUUCAAAUUAAUAUUUUUUUAUGUUUUCAGAUCAUUUUGAUGUGCUGAUAUCAAAAAUAAUUUUUUAAAUAUAAAAAAAUAUUAUUUUAAUAUAAAAGACACUUUGAAAAGCAACCGCAACCACACUCUCAAACACAACUAUCAAAUAUUUUAUACAUGUUUUUUGUUACACAUAAACUUCAACCAUAUUUUUUACCAAACACGUAUCUAAAUCUAACUAAUCACAGCAAACUGCAUAUUUUUAAAUUUUUUUUUUUCAAAUCACAAUCACAAAAUUAUCUAAAACACAAACAUUUAAAAUAAACACUUUAAAAACAAUAUUUUCACACCUUUAAGCUACCUUCCUAUUUGUUUCCAUUCUAAAUAUUUUCAAGAGUACAUGUACCCUGUUGCUGUUUAAACAGAAAAAGAAGAAGAGGGGGGACAAAUAUGCAGUUCCUUAGAAAAAUAAAAAUACGGCAUUCAUCUGUACUUGGGUUUGAAAUAAGACAUCUUGGCUAUUUGGUUGCUCAAUGAUCCACUUCUUACUAACUUCUGCAACUUACUAGCCUCUGUCAAAAAGGGUUGCUCUGCUCUACUUUUUUCCUGCAGAAAGAAGAAGAAGAAGAAGAAGAAGAAGAAGAAAGGAAGGUGAUUGAGUCCAGACAAUAUGAAUCCUUUCCUCCAGAAAAUCUUGCUCAUUUCUUGGCCUUUUCACACCCAUUGAAAGGAGCUCCAAUCACACAAACCAGCAAUCCUUCCAAACUUUUUCACAUGAUCAGCACACGCAACUGAUAUCCACACAGCCCCAGAGCCUGUAGCUGCCGCCAACAAAACCCCAGCAUCCUCUCCAUGAAUAAACCAAAACACAUCCCUGCCACCCCCUGCUUAUCCACUAAUAACUCCUUAAACUACCCAGAUACAUGACUUCCAUUUUUAGACCCAAAAAUCAAAGAUCAAUAUCAAACCCCAGUCCCUGCUAUGAAAACAGGAUAAAAUCACCUGAUCUCAAAAACCCAGAUAGAUAGAUGCUUGUUUAUAGUUCCAUUACACAAGAGCUAAUUGGUUACUACUUUUGGUUUGGGUAAAUUAGUUUGGAUGGACAGAUAUAUAUUACCGUGAUCCAGUUUGGAAGAUCAGUGGAAUAACAUAAAAUGAAGAGAAGAAAUAGAGAAGCAGAUGAGAAGCAGGAAUUUCAGUAGAAUGCUAUAAUCAGUUGUCCAUAUCAGAUACAUUUCAGUAGAAACUACAGCAUUCUUAACCUAAGGUCAGUAUCAAUCCAAAAUAAUUGCUAUAAAUCGAAGAAGAAAUUACUUUCCACAAAUAAUAAUCCUUAGCCUAGAACUCGGUAGAAUUGAAAAGCACGAGUGUUUCACCUUUGGAACUCAAAAUGGCAUGUCAUUCUCAGUAGAAACAUACAACCAGGAAAAGCCAUCCGCAGUAAGUAACCCCUGACCGAGACUAGACUGAAAAGUUCAAUAAUAUAGGGACUGAAUUGAAAUGUUAGAAACAGUACAGGGACUGUAACAAAAUUCAACCCUCAUCACCAAACCCCAAGUACAUAAACUAACCCUCUCUCUUCAUUUCACAACCAGCAGCCUCCUUCCCCUCACACUCUCCUCUCUCUCUCUCUCAGUUCAUCCUAUCAUCAUUAUCUCUUUUUUAAAAAUAAAAUUAAACCAAACAGAAAAAUGGCAGAGGCACUUUUAUCGCCAAUUUUGGAGCAGUUAACCACGGUCGUUGCUCAACAGGUAAUUACUUUUAUACAAUUUGCAAUGAUCUAAUUAACCCUUACAUGAAUAAGAAAUAUAAAAAUUUAAGUCUUUUUUUUCUUCCAUAAUCUUAUUAUAGACUUUACAAAUACCAACAAAUACAGAUUCUUUUAUUCACUUUCCUUUUAUUCCUUUUAUAUAUUCUUUGAUCCGCCAAGCUUAUGUUAUAUAUAGGUUUGACGUCGAACAAUUUAAGAUUUAUUUUUUUCCUUCUUGUAUAGUAGCAGAGUGCAGACAGAGAUAUCAUCACGAUCAUGAUAAAAAGAAAUAUUAUUAUUUUUAAUAUAUAGGUUCUUCAUAAAUAUUUUAUAUAUAAAUUUAUAAUAUAGCCAAUCCAAUUCACUGUACGUGUGAACUAUGCGGAAAAAAGAUUAAUAAAAAUUAUUUAAUCUAUUAAUUACCAAAAAUUAAAAUUAAAAACUUGUAGUGAAAUCAUAGAACUGUUUCCUCUGCUUGAACUUUCUGAUCUUUUCUACACCAAUAGGUACAGGAAGAGGUGAGCCUAGUAGGGGGUGUGAAGAAACAAGUCGACAAGCUGAAAAGCAAUCUCAUUGCUAUCCAAUCUGUCCUUGAAGACGCAGAUAGAAAACAAGUGAAGGAUAAGGCUGUAAGAGAUUGGGUAGACAAGCUCAAAGAUGUAUGUUAUGAUAUGGAUGACGUGCUAGAUGAAUGGAGCUCAGCAAUUCUUACUUGGAAAAUGGAGGAAGCUGAAGAAAAUACUCGCAGCCUACAGAAGAUGCGAUGUUCCUUCCUGGGAUCUCCUUGCUUUUGUCUCAAUCAAGUGGGUCGACGUCGAGACAUUGCCCUCAAGAUCAAAGAAGUAUGUGAAAAAGUGGAUGACAUUGCGAAAGCGAGAGCUAUGUAUGGCUUUGAGUUGUACAGGGCCACUGAUGAACUCCAACGAAUAACAAGUACCUCCCUUGUUGAUGAAUCAAUCGUGACUGGUCGAGAUGAUGAAAGGGAAGCUGUAGUAAGCAAGUUGCUGGGCGAAAGUAUUCAGGAAGCAGGGGACGUGGAGGUCAUCUCUAUAGUAGGGAUGGGCGGGAUUGGAAAGACAACUCUCGCCCAACUAGCUUUUAAUGAUGCUGAGGUUACGGCUCAUUUUGAGAAGAUAUGGGUGUGUGUUUCAGAUCCAUUUGAUGAGGUUAGGAUAGGCAAAGCUAUCCUCGAGCAGCUUGAAGGGAGGGCACCGGAUUUGGUUGAAUUGCAAUCCCUUUUGCAAAGGGUUUCUGAAUCCAUUAAGGGAAAGAGGUUCCUUCUUGUCCUAGAUGAUGUCUGGACAGAAAAUCAUGGACAAUGGGAACCACUGAAACUCUCUCUCAAAGGCGGUGCACCAGGAAGCAGAAUUCUAGUGACCAGUCGUAAACAUUCUGUGGCAACCAUGAUGGGAACCGACCACAUGAUCAACCUUGAGAGACUGUCUGAUGAGGUAUGCAGGUCAAUAUUCAAUCACGUGGCAUUCCAUAAAAGAAGCAAAGAUGAGUGCGAAAGAUUGACAGAAAUCAGCGAUAAAAUUGCAAACAAGUGCAAGGGAUUGCCUCUAGCUGCCAAGGUAUUAGGAGGUCUAAUGCAGUUUAAAAGAACAAGAGAAGAGUGGGAACAUGUUUUAUCUAGCGAACUGUGGGAGCUAGAACAUGUUGAAAGAGGACUAUUUCCACCUUUGCUUUUAAGUUACUACGAUUUACCUUCUGUGGUAAGACGAUGUUUCUUGUAUUGUGCCAUGUUUCCAAAAGACUACGAGAUGGUCAAAGAUGAAUUGGUGAAGAUGUGGAUGGCUCAAGGUUACCUUAAGGAGACUCCAAGUAGAGAUAUGGAGCUUGUUGGAGAGGAGUACUUUCAAGUCUUAGCAGCGCGCUCUUUCUUCCAAGAUUUUAAGACGGAUGAGUUUGAAGGAAUGAAAUUCAAGAUGCAUGAUAUAGUGCAUGAUUUUGCCCAAUAUAUGACAAAAAAUGAAUGUCUAACAGUGGAUGCCAGUAAACUUGGAGAAGCAACAACAGAGAUUUCAUGUGAAAGGGUUCGUCAUUUAAGCAUGAAGUUAUCAGGGGAGACCUCUUUUCCGGCGUCCAUUCGCAAAGCAAAAGGUCUUCGCAGCCUCUUGAUAGGCAGUAGAGACCCUUCGCUUGGAGCUGCACUACUUGAUGUAUUCAAGCAGUUGACAUGCAUCAGGUCAUUGAAUUUGUCAUGGUCUUCAAUCAAAGAAAUACCAAAGGAGGUAGGGAAAUUGAUACAUUUGAGACACCUCAAUUUGGCAGAUUGUGGAGAGUUGGAGUCCCUGCCAGAAACCACGUGUGAUUUAUGCAAUCUGCAAUCCCUAGACGUUACGUGGUGUCGUUCUCUUAAGGAAUUACCUAAGGCUAUUGGAAAACUUAUCAAAUUGAGGCAUCUCCAGAUUUAUGGUUCAGGUGUGGCCUUCAUACCAAAGGGAAUAGAGAGGAUAACAUGUCUUCGAACAUUAGAUGGGUUUACUGUGUGUGGUGGUGGUGAGAAUGAAAGUAAAGGAGCUAAUCUAAGAGAAUUAAAAAACUUAAAUCUCAUUGGAGGGAGUUUUAGUAUACGGAAUCUAGGAGGAGGUAUAGAAGAUGCGAGUGACGCUGCAGAAGCACAACUCAAGAAUAAGAAGCGCCUGCUUUGUUUGGAAUUGGGUUUCGACUACAACCAGGAGAACGGCAUUUUAAUUGAAGCUUUACAGCCUCCGUCAGACUUGGAAUAUCUAACCAUAUCUAGUUACGGAGGGUUGGAUUUGCCAAAUUGGAUGAUGACAUUGACCAGAUUACAGGUGCUUACACUCCGUUAUUGUGAAAACGUGGAGGUCUUGCCUCCGUUGGGAAGAUUGCCCAACCUUGAAAGCCUGGUAUUGAGCUCGUUGAAGGUGAGAAGGCUGGAUGCUAGAUUUUUAGGUAUAGAAAAGGCUGAGAAUGCCAGUAUUGAUGAAGGAGAAAUUGCAAGGGUCACUGCUUUCCCCAAAUUAAAAAAACUUUGGAUUGAGGGUCUCGAAGAAGUAGAAGAGUGGGAUGGAAUUGAAAUGAGAGUAGGAGAAGAAGAUGCCAACACAACUUCAAUA
RNAcentral lists this long non-coding RNA (34788 nucleotides) under Populus trichocarpa (black cottonwood). RNAcentral describes it as "long non-coding RNA (PTRI_LNC002966)". The record is from RNAcentral. Lineage: Eukaryota; Viridiplantae; Streptophyta; Magnoliopsida; Malpighiales; Salicaceae.